AAAUUUUAAGAAGGAACUUUUAUAACAAUAUAAAAAGCCGUAAUAUUUAACUGAUGUAAGGAAAGUUAAAAGUUCAAAAGAUAUAAAUUGAUAAAAUCAUUUAUCAAACACAAAGGAAAAAAUAUGGCAAAGAUUGUGAAAUUUGUUUUUAUUAUGAUUAUCUUUAUUUUUCUAUUUCUGGUGCCAUCCAACCAUGGGGGAGUUGGUAAAUGUAAAAACGAUAAUAGUUGUUAUUUUUUCAAUUAUGGGUGCCUUCCACCAAGGAUAAUGAGGUGUUACAACAAAGUAUGCACAUGUGUUAAAGUGACAUCUUUCUUCCAUUAGUGUGAAGGAAGUACAACAAUGUUUUCGAAGAAUAUUUUGUAAACUCUAAUAUAGUUAUUGUAUUGUCAUCUCAUAAUUUGUUUUUUUUCUUCUCAUUUCAGGAUAUUGUGAAUAAUUUUGUUUAAAUUGUAUUCAUCUCUCUCAAUUGCAAAAUAUCCCUAUGAAUUUUAAUUCAAGCAUGUCUCAUAAUCAUUUCAUUCUUACCUUAUAUUAGAAUAUCUUUAAUAGUUUAGAUGAAAAUUAUAUCAUACUAUUUCUAAGCUUGUAAUUUUAUAGUCAUAUUAUAUUCUCAAUAUUUUUCUCUUUUCCAACAUCAAUUUAUAUUUCUCUUAGAUUUUAAUUUUUAUAUUGGCCUCAUAUGUAUCGUUGACUUUGAAAAGAUAUAAAAUAUAUAAAAUAUUCAAUAUAGCAAAGUAAAAGUAUACUGCAAUAAUUGAAUAUUUAGUAGAAGAUUUGUAUAUGUUUCAACAAACCAUGGUUAAUGUGUGACUAAUAUGUAAUCCUUUUUUUAAUGUUUACAAUUUUAUUUUUGUUAAUUUGUACAAAAUAUUUUAUCAAAUGUUAUCUAAACUUUUAUUUUCAUUUUUCAAUAUAGGAGUUGGUAAAUGUAAAAACGAUAAUAGUUGUCAUUUUUUCAAUUAUGGGUGCCUUCCACCAAGGAUAAUGAGGUGUUACAACAAAGUAUGCACAUGUGUUAAAGUGACAUCUUUCUUCCAUUAGUGUGAAGCAAGAUAUUGUGCAUAAUUUUGUUUAAAUUUUAUUCAUCUCUCACAAUUGCAAAAUAUCCCUAUGAAUUUUAAUUCAAGCAUGUCUCAUA
This is a long non-coding RNA of Vicia villosa (hairy vetch), 1141 nucleotides long. RefSeq lists it as uncharacterized. The record is from RefSeq and is a predicted model, not a curated record. Lineage: Eukaryota; Viridiplantae; Streptophyta; Magnoliopsida; Fabales; Fabaceae. The transcript has 3 exons.